UGGCGGACGGGUGAGUAACGCGUGGGUAACCUGCCUCAUACAGGGGGAUAACAGUUGGAAACGACUGCUAAUACCGCAUAAGCGCACAGGGUCGCAUGACCUGGUGUGAAAAACUCCGGUGGUAUGAGAUGGACCCGCGUCUGAUUAGCCAGUUGGUGGGGUAACGGCCUACCAAAGCGACGAUCAGUAGCCGACCUGAGAGGGUGACCGGCCACAUUGGGACUGAGACACGGCUCAAACUCCUACGGGAGGCAGCAUG
RNAcentral lists this ribosomal RNA (259 nucleotides) under uncultured bacterium. RNAcentral describes it as "partial 16S ribosomal RNA". It matches the Rfam family "Bacterial small subunit ribosomal RNA", at positions 96 to 353 of the family's 1533-position model. The record is from RNAcentral.